ACGCGGCGGCGUGCUUACACUGCAGUCGAACGGGGUUAUGUCUUGAAUCAUCAAGUAGUUUACUAUGAGGUGUGGAGGAUAUAACUUAGUGGCGGACGGGUGAGUAACGCGUGAGGGCUUGUCCAUAGCAGGGGGACAACAGUUGGAAACGGCUGCUAAUACCGCAUACGCGUGCCUUGAGGUGCGUAAAAGGAAUUUAUUCCGGCAAUGGAGGGACUCGCGUCCUAUCAGCUAGUAGGUGAGGUAACGGCUCACCUAGGCGAUGACGGGUAGCCGGCCUGAGAGGGCGCACGGCCACACUGGGACUGAGAUACGGCCCAGACUCCUACGGGAGGCAGCAGUGGGGAAUAUUGGGCAAUGGGGGAAACCCUGACCCAGCGACGCCGCGUGAGUGAAGAAGUCUUUCGGGACGUAAAGCUCUUUUGUGCGGGAAGAAGAAGAUGACGGUACCGCACGAAUAAGCCCCGGCAAACUACGUGCCAGCAGCCGCGGUAAUACGUAGGGGGCAAGCGUUGUCCGGAAUUACUGGGCGUAAAGGGCACGCAGUGCGGACUGUUAAGUCAGUUGUGAAAUGCAGGGGCUCAACUCCUGUCUGUCGACUGAUACUGGUAGUCUUGACUAUGUGACGACGGAAGUGGAAUUC
RNAcentral lists this ribosomal RNA (643 nucleotides) under uncultured bacterium. RNAcentral's name for it is "bacterial SSU rRNA". It matches the Rfam family "Bacterial small subunit ribosomal RNA", at positions 33 to 669 of the family's 1533-position model. The record is from RNAcentral.